Molecule: long non-coding RNA, 246 nt
Organism: Gordionus sp. m RMFG-2023
Lineage: Eukaryota; Metazoa; Nematomorpha; Gordioida; Chordodea; Parachordodidae
Exons: 4
Source: RefSeq, a predicted model, not a curated record
GUCAAGGAUGGCUUAGACCUACAAGGGAUGCACAACCUCCAAAAUAUGACGACCAUAUAUCAGGGUCCGGAGUAGAGCAUACUAUGGAAAAAGCUAAAAAAUUAUUACCAAAAGAAGAAGAAACUGUCUUGAACAAUGAAAAUUCAUAAUUUAUAUAUCUCUAUAUAUCUAAAUUAUUGAAAUAAAUUAUUAUCUUAUUUAAACACUAAACACUAAUUAAAACAAAAAUUGUUUGUGAUUAUUGCA